Pelobates cultripes (western spadefoot toad) is the source of this 8033-nucleotide non-coding RNA. Lineage: Eukaryota; Metazoa; Chordata; Amphibia; Anura; Pelobatidae. The record is from the annotation of a GenBank genome assembly.
GUGGAGUUAAAGAACAAACUGUUAUAUGCUGCGCAUCUCCUAAAUGUUCACAAACUUGCUCGUGUGUUAUUUUGUGGGUAAAAUCAUGGUUUGUUCAAAAGACAAUUUCACAAAGUAGUUAUUACAACACAUGAAAUAAGUGAGGCACAGACAUGUUUGAAUUGAGGAAGGUUAAGAUUUUGUGUUAACAAUGGGGCCAGGAGUAAAGAAGCGUUUAGCAUAUUUAUUAAUGUGUUACAAAGCAGUUGUGUUUGGAACAGUUACUUCAUUUUCGUUUAACAAUACUAAUUUCAGAUAAAACAUUUAUCGACGUUGUCUUUUACCCAUCAAAAUCUACACACAAAUAUAAAAUUUAAACACCACAGUUUUAACGGACUAGCAAUUAAUUCAAUGUCUGGAAACAAAAUAAAAAGUUAGAGAAUAACCUUUUGAGGAAGUCUGGGGAGGAAAACAGGCACUAGUCUGAUACACAUGUUAACAGAGCGGAACUGUACAGAGAAAGCACUGAGCAUACAUUUAUAUAACAGUCCUUGUAUAUUUGGUCAUAUUGUGAUUACUACGGUUCUUGAAGCAAAGUCUGUUUUUGUACGACUUGACGGAAGCAGUGGAGAACAGACCCCUGUGUCAAAUACGAGGAAGCUACUAAACACACACACACAAAAAAAGUCAUCACUUUGCACUUCUCGUUUAUAAUGCUGACUUGUAAUUAGAAAUGUUGCAUCUAUGUCAAACAGGUUACAAUUUGCUUGGAAAUCUCUUGUUUAUUCAGUGGUGAGGAAAAUUCAUUAUACUGCUAAUACGGAUAAUUACCUAAGUCCGAUAUUUUGCAUUCAAGAAAAGGUUCAAUCUCAUAGCCCAACUGAAAUACAUUUUAUAACAAAUUUAGCUAUUCAAUCAUUGCCAAAAAUAAGAUCCCAGGCUGAUGUCGAGCUACAACGUGCAUGAUCCUAUACCUGGCUUGACAGCUUGGAGUCUACAUUAUGGCCACUCCUGGACUAAUUUUUUUUUUUUUUUUACUACAGACCUCUUAGUAGAAUGCUUUACAGUGCAACAUAAACCCCCGCCCUCCCCCCCCCCCAAAAAAAACCCCACAAAAGGUAUUUUCCUGUGUGAAAUAUUGCCCAGAGCAAAAGGUCAUCACACAAAAAAUAACAAAAGUACAAAUUUUACUUUAAUAAAGCGGUUCAGUGAGAAUAAUACAUUUUAAGACCACCUUUGCAUUUUGUAAAAAAAAAAAAUCAUUUAGAGCUAGAAAUACAACUGCCGAUAACAUUUUAAGAUUAGGGUUGUACAAAUCCUAGUAAUGACUGCCCUUUGCCAGACUGACUUUCUACUAAUUUCCGAUUUGAUUCAAGUAUUUAAUUUUAAUAUGACGUACAAUAAAUGUGUUUGAAACAAUCUUGAACACAUUUAAUGUGCUGGUAUACUGGAAGAAAGGUUUAAAAAAAAAAAAAAAAAAUAGAAUAAUCCAGAACAUUUGUGUUUCUUUUUUACAGCCUGAAGAAUUUGUUUGGAAGAACAAGGUCUAGAAGCAUCUCAAUCCUGUGGAAGAUUUGGGGGUUGCAGUGAAAUAGUUUUGAUCGAUCAUCAAAUUGGAUGAACAGAAGUGUGGUGUUUCUAAAGCCAGCAUUCACUUGAUCAUUUGAAUAAGCUAAUUCUCCGAUAAAUAAAAUACAAUUUCAGUAGAGUGUGAGAUUUUAAAGAAAUGUCUCUUGUUGAGAAGUGUAAGUAAUAAGAUUUUUUUUUUUUUUAUUCUGCCUCCAUUUAACACAGGGUAUAGAAUAAAACAACAGAAGCAAUGGGCAUUCACAGAUCUGCUUAACACAGAUGUAGACUGUCAGUUAAGUGCUUUUUUUGUAUUUUGAUCUAACAUAUUGAUAGGAUUAAUUGAGUAAUAAGUAACUGGUAUAAUUCCUACUUACUCGGGAGCCAGGUGUAAAUGAUUUAUUAAAAUGAAAUAUACAGAUGGGGAAAAAAAAAUAGAAAAUUAAUUUUUCCUCAAAUAAACCACCCUAAAAAACACCAAGAGGAGGGAAUUGUGAUUACAAAUACCCCCCCCCCCAUAAAAAAAAAAAUUAAACAUCUUGAUCAAUCUACAUUAUGGGAGGAGGCCAUCUCAUAAGCAUUUAUAAAUCGGAAAAAGUGUAGUAAAAUUUUCAUGUAAGUUAAAAAGCCUCCCUUUUCCAAGUCACUAUGUAAUAAAUAAGGAAAGACUUUGCUUUUGUUGGUAUAUAUUUUCUGUAGCACAACAUAAAACUAAAGAAGUUCUCCUCACUCUAUUAAAUGCUAUAUAUACACACCUUGCUAGGCACCAGGAAAUCACUUUUAUAUUAGUAUGGUUGCCUGAAACAUUUUAACAAUAGCGAAUUAAGCAGAGCCCAGCCACAUUAUAAGAGUUCUGGGCGGCACAAGAACCAACACCAUGUCUGGAAAUUUCCAUUUCCAUCACAGUGUUCUAUAGGGAAAUAAAGGGGUUGGACAAAAGAAAGGGUCAUAAUUAACAUGAUAAACAAUAGAACAAAACAUACAAAAUGACCAGAAAUGGAUUUAAAUAUUUACCUCCACCACACAUACAAAAUGUGGUGUUUUACCUAGAGGCACUUAAGUGCCAAGCAGGGAAACUCCAGUUAAAAUGUUGAGAAUCCCGAAGUACGCACAUUUCUUAUGUAGGUAGAAUCAAUAGUCAAACCUAGAGGGUUCAUAAAUAAACACCAAGAAUAUACAAAAUAAGGAGGGGAAAAAAAAUCCUUCAAAUACAGUUUCUAAAAAAGAAGAUUUAAUCAGAAAUCAGUACGUAAAACGGAACUGGCAAACUAUUUUGACAGAGGAUACACAGCGCAGAGCUCCCAACACUUGAAAAUCCACAUAAUUUUACUAUAUGCCGUGUUUGUACAUAGCAUUCAGAAGUUGUCUAGCCCAGAACAGUUCAGGGCUACUUUGUGCAGUCGUAUAUUAAUUACUUAAGUGGUUUUCAACAUCUUCCUAUAUAACCACUUAACUAAGUAACAAAGGCACAUAUCUCUUGCAAUUUAUUACAGACUUACUUCCUCAAAAUUAUUAUUUGUAUUAAACAAUGCAAUAUAGGUUGAUAUCUGUAUAUUUGAAGAGAUAUUUCUGUAAACCGUACACAAAAAUGUGAUCUACAUACAGUAAAUUUACUGUAAAAGAAAGGGAGAUGAGAUAUUUGUACAAAGAGAAAGACUAAUCUCUACGCAGUCAUGCAAAGUGUAAAGAAAAGCUUAGGGCUUCACAUAUAGUUCUACUAUACUACUAGAUAUUAAGCUAGAGAGUGCUCUAAAUCAGAUAUGGCCUGCCCAAUGUUUCCUGUAACAUAAGGUUGAUUUACAUUAGAACCCCCCCCCCCAAAAAAAACCCAACAAACACCCACAUGAAAUAAAAGGUGUUGCUGUAAUACAUUUUUGUUUAUCUCCAGCUGUGUUAGAGUCACAAUCAUGAUCAUUAUAACAGGAAGAUACAAGAAACACCACAAGGAUUUUAAUUAAUUUAGGGUCAGAAAGGUGCUAGCUCUAAAUUAAUGCUCAGCUUCUUGACAGUCUAGAUAUACAAUGCAUACACUAGGAUUUCACUUAAAUCUACCAAUACCUAAAUAAAAUAAUUCUAUUUGAUAAGAAUGAAUUCAUUAUCAAAAAUGGGUAUUUUUUUUUCCUUUUUCGAAAUGAGUCCCACCAGCAGAUACAAUACUUUUGAAUGGCAUCUAGGUACCCCCAAACACACAUACUGUGGCAGCAAUGUGGGUUGCACUAUUUCAGUUUUUUAAAACUUUUUGUAACCGUGAACCACAAUCACAACAUACUCCAUUUAAUAGAACAGCUAAUUUGUCAAUUACUACCAACAAAUUGACUUGCAAUUCAUAAAAAAAAAAAAAGGGGUUUAUAGCAUAACAAGUAAAAAAAAAAUUAAAAAAAAAAAAAUUAUAUAUAUAUAAAAAAAUAAAUACAAUUUCCACUUUUUGAGAAACAAAGUCUAAAAGUUAAUUCUAUCUCAUUCAUAAGACAAAAAUAUGCAGUUGUCUAUCGUCUUAUAGCAAGAAAUACGAUAAACGGAAUUGGCUGAAAACCAUACACUGCAAAAGCUAGUAAUGAAUGAUAACAGGAAGCAAGCACAGAGAAGCUCAAAAAACGAAAUUCAGUCAGUAAUGUGAUACAUAAACAUGCUUAUCAGAUUCUGUAACUUAAAAGAGGCACAUAAACACUACAGCUCUGAGUAUCGUUAUGUUUCGUAGAGUGCCUUGGAACCGUCCCCUCAAUUAAUAUCAAACAAACAGUUUAAAAGGUACAUUCCACUGUUCAAAUAUUUCAUAUUUUAUUUUGUAAAAUGAAAGGAAAAAAACCCCUAAAAAGACACUCUUUACGCAAGCUUCUUUCCCAUCUUGGCUGCAUUAGUAUUCCAGAAGUAUUAUCAAUGUCAAUUUCACCCAUACUGGAUGAGACUGACUUCAAGGGGCACUUCAAUCACCAACACAAUGUAAAUGUGUUUUGAUAGAUUUUAGCUUCGUAUUCAUGUUGUAUUUUUCCAUUGCCACUUUUUUUUUUCUCCUUCAGAAUAACAAAAAAAUAUAUAUUUUGAGCUUUCUGCAGCAUAAUUCACGCGAUAUGUUCCUGAUUUGAAGUCCUCAGUGUAUACACACAGCUGAGCCAAUGAGAGAUUAGCAGGAGUUAGGCUGCUAAAAUGACUCUGUCCUAUAACCAAUCAUAGUCUUUUUAUUAUAUGCACUAUUAUUUUAUCUUAGCAAAGCUAAAUCAAACAGGAAGACAUUCUGAAAAGGGAGGAGGUGGUGUUAUACUGCAGAACACAGCAUUUAAAAAAACAAAAAACAACUAAAUAGAUUUGAGCAAGGAGAAAACAAAACAAAACCAACAGCACUGACCGUAAAUCAAAACCUAAGCACCACUAAAUAAAACACAGACCACUUUGUCUCAACGACUGUGGUUUGGGUGAAGUGGUCCUGUACUUUUAACCCUUUAGUGCAAAACACUGCAGUUUUGUAAAAUGUUUCGUUAACAUUGUCUGUCUGAGAUGUAGUGAUCAUGUUACCUAAAAAUGUCCCUUUAAACUGGAACUCUCAUGUCACUGUUUUCGGCAUACAUUCUAUACACUGUGUUGGCAAGUUUGUCAGCAAAAGAUAUGCUUACCUGGAGAUCUCCUACUCUACUAAAGCUGAUGGAGCAACUUCUUUGCCUGCAAAUGCAGAACAAGGCAUCCUGCAACUUUCCUGGCAGGACGCACAGUGUCGUUUAGAAGCAGGGCAGCUGCACAUAGAUACUAUAUUUCUAAUGUCUGCUAAAAGCACAACCACGACUACUACUAUGAAGGGAAAAUAACCAAAAAAUGGAUAUACCAUUAAAACAAAAUAUUUCUACUGAUUCCCCCAUUUUACAAAUAAAAAUGAUACUGUUACACUCACAGCACGGCCAAUUGCGUCUGCCUAUUGAAUUGACGGCCACUAGAAGCACAAAUGUGCAAGUAAAGCAUCUAGGCACUAAGACCAUUGGAUUAAGUGCAAGUGCUCUUGGUGUCCCCUAAAUAUUUACUGCUGUGCUGAUGCGUAAUCAAAGUGUAAGAAACUUAGUGGUUUCACACAAUUCUAAAGUACCCUUGUGUGCUAGGUAUAGUGGAAUGGAGGUCCUGCCCAUUACCAGCAUAUAUUCUGGAUGACGAAGAAUUACUUGUAAUGAAACUAACUUUUAAUUCAUACAGUUUCAUUUUCAACCAGCACAAUGAGUAGAUUUAAUUGUUUAAACAGGUUCACUUUGAGGUGGAGAGGCUGAGCAGUCUUAAAAAGCACACAGGGAAGAAGAGAACAUGAUUACGUAGCUCGAGAUCAGCUUAAUAAAAAGGCAUUACAUAAGAGAAUUGCUGAGAGAAUGAUGUGCAGCCUAGGAUUGGUAGUAUAACUUGAAGUAGUUUUGGUGCUUAGAAUGUUCCUUUAUGUUAAUGAAGUGAUUUGGGGGCAUAGAUGGUGCAGUACCCCUGCAGCUUUGCCAAUGAAAAUCUAUCAUUUAUAAGAAAAAAAACAGUUUGCAGUUUCCACCCUGUUUAGUGGCUGGCAUUCAGAGAGUUACAAUGGGCAAUAGGCUUUGGACUAAGGUCUCUCCCUUCACAUAUUCUAUUAAAAAGAAACAAUGUAUAUUAUACAUACCGUUACAUUCUUAUGCUAGGUCAUUACAUGCUUUUUUUGUUAAUAGUUUACACAUUCAAGGGAAACUGUAGCCUCCCUGGUUUGUUCACUAAUAUAGUUCAAAUUAAAGAGUAAUUUCAUUAAAGGGACUCUCCAGGCAGCCGUUUUUACUCACCUGGUUCCAGCGCCGGGAGCCUCGUGAAGCCGCGCCCCCUAUUUUGUCAAAAUGACGAAAUAGGCAGGCGCGAGCAGGGAGCAAUCAGACGCUUCCAUUUGGAAGUGUCAUUGCUCGAGGGCGGCAUUCAUGCUGCCCUCUGAAGUCCUGAGCGCACUACCGCGCUCUAUGCGCGUGGCCACGAGCUGACUGACAGCUCAACUCGCGGUUCUUGUCUCCCCCCCCCUCCCCCGCUAACAGGCAGAAGAGAGAAGGCGCGCACACAGUGCCUUCUCUCUCCUGCGCACGUCAGACGUAUUUUAAUACGUCUGACGUGUACAAGGCCUUUUUAGGACCCUACAUGAUAGGAAGUCCCUCUGGUGGCCGUCUGAGUGACGGCCACUGGAGGUAUUCCUAUCAAUCAAUGUAAACACUGUAUUUUCUCUGAACAGUGUUUACAUUAGAUUGCCUUUAAGCAUUAAGCUGUAGUUGUUCAGGUGACUAUAGUGUCCCUUUAAAGGGAAACAAUAAUUCCAGGUUAAACAAAGACAUAUGCACCCACACCACUUCAAUGAGCUGAAGUGGUCUGGGUACCUAUAGUGUCCAUUUAAGAUUGGUAGCUUGUGUAAGUAUAUGUAUUCAUUCUAAUUUGCCCCUCCCCCAACCACCCACCAAUCAUAUAUAAAUGGUGAGUGAAACAAAGGAUUUUAGCAAAAUACAAGGAAAAUAAUAAUAAUUCAGGAGUAAGUAAACAUAUUUUUAUCUCCUUCUUUUGCAAGCAUAGUUACACAUCAAAGAUGAAUUAUUUUCUGCUAGUGGUCAGAUGUAAUGGUGAAGCAGCCCUAACAUAGUAAUACAGGUUGAAAGAGGAGGGGCAAAGAGAGACUUAUUAAGCUAAACCACCAAAGCUGCAUAUGGCUUAUGAUUUACAGCAUCUACAAUAAUGCUCUGAGGGAAAUAAUUUCUUACAGAACCUAAAUUAGACAUAAAAGAUUUCACUUUCAUAAAAUCUAGAUAUUAUUUAAUUUGCAGAUUUAACGUAUUAAAGGGACUCUCAGGCAUUCUAAUCACUGCAGUUCUUUUUUUGUGGUCAUAGUACUGUGUCUACAGGUGUAAACAAAACACAAAAACCAGAGGGCUCACUCAUUGCUCGCCCCCUCUAAAACUGCACUUAAUACAUAAAUUAUAUUUCAAGUGCAAAUACUGUCCAAUCUUGGACAGCAAUGACAAAAAUAAAAGAACAAAACCUACUCAAGUGUACAUAUAAACCUUCACCAUAAAGUAGUCAAUGUACCCAACAUUAACAAAAAUAAAAUGAUUUAAAAAAAUGGUCAUUAAAACACCUUAACCACUACAGCACACUUUAGGUGUUCUGGUACCGGGCACCCCUGGCACUGGACCAUGUUUAAUAGCUGCCUGAAGUCUGGCUUCUCUUCAUAGAAAUAGCAGUAUCAAUUCUGUCUGUAUUUUGGUGGAAAUCAUAGGUUGGGAGCAAUAGCUUUCCAAAUCUGUGCAAAACUGCAACAUAUAUAGGACCAAGGCACACUUCAACAAGAGAUUUUUUUUCUAAAUUUCCAAUGCACACCUGCUGUUUAUUUUGUAUCUUCAUAUUAAUCUUAUAAGAUGUCACACUACUUGCAACCUUGCUAGGCAAUGAUGCAACAUGCAUUGUCUGAGUGUCUACCUGGGUUGACUUUAAAUAGUUACGCCAACCAUCAUGACCACUUCUGCUUUUAGAAG